AUGUAUGUUCGACAUGCCAUGACAACCAAUUUCUUUUUUUCCCUUUCCAUAACACACAAAAGUUUCGCUUGUCGUUUUCUUUUAAGACUUGGGAGAAGAGUUAUUUACAGAAUUGUUGAAAACACCCAAUUCUCAUGUCUCCACAUUUCUGUGUUUUUGGAAGAGGUCUUUUGUAAUCCUUUGAAUCAAAGAAGCCUUUUGCUGCUUACUAAUUCUUCGUCCGUCCGGGUUUAUUAUAGCGUCCUGCAUAUAACUAAUCAGUUUCCUGCAAUGUCCAUGGAUGCGUCUGGUCAUUGUCCGCGCCAUCUCAAAUUUUUGAUUCCAUAA
This 327-nucleotide ribosomal RNA is filed under the name Triticum aestivum (bread wheat). Its description in RNAcentral is "partial small subunit ribosomal RNA". Lineage: Eukaryota; Viridiplantae; Streptophyta; Magnoliopsida; Poales; Poaceae. The record is from RNAcentral.